AGCAGCCGCGGUAAUUCCAGCUCCAAUAGCGUAUAUUAAAGUUGUUGCAGUUAAAAAGCUCGUAGUUGAAUUUCGGGAUUGACGUGAUGGUCGUGCCUUACGGGGUAUGAACUGUUGCAGUCAAUUUCUCACCUUCUGGAGAAAUAUGAUGUCCUUAAUUGGGUGUCAUAUGGAACCAGAACUUUUACCUUGAAAAAAUUAGAGUGUUUAAAGCAGGCUUAUUGCUCGAAUACAUUAGCAUGGAAUAAUAAAAUAGGACGGCAUGGUUCUAUUUUGUUGGUUUCUAGGAUCACCGUAAUGAUUAAUAGGGAUAGUUGGGGGCAUUAGUAUUCAAUUGUCAGAGGUGAAAUUCUUGGAUUUAUUGAAGACUAACUACUGCGAAAGCAUUUGCCAAGGAUGUUUUCAUUAAUCAAGAACGAAAGUUAGGGGAUCGAAGACGAUCAGAUACCGUCGUAGUCUUAACCAUAAACUAUGCCGACUAGGAAUCAGACGAUGUUAAUUUUUUUAAUGACUC
Molecule: unclassified non-coding RNA, 514 nt
Filed under: uncultured Glomus
Lineage: Eukaryota; Fungi; Glomeromycota; Glomeromycetes; Glomerales; Glomeraceae
Description: SSU rRNA
Rfam family: Eukaryotic small subunit ribosomal RNA
Source: RNAcentral